GUUGGCUAUAGCUACCAUGUCAUGUAGAGUCUUAAUAUGUGGUUUCAAUGGGUUAAUAGUCAUGUGAGUGGUUCCUACCCAGUCUGGUGAGGUAAGCAUGUCUUGCAGAUAAAAUGUCCCCAGUUUAUUAUAUGAGCCGCCUCCCCUCCAGUACAUUCCCAUUACAUAUUCCCCCGCAUCCUUUGGGCUAGGGUGCUCUAUGUUUAAGGUAAGUUUGAUAGGAGUCGACCUAAUAGGUUUACUUAAGGUUAUUCUGGAGAGUCAAGGUUUUCCGUCUUUGUCUAUUCUGUCUAAUGCACUCUGGGGUCUAUAGCCCCAUGGUCUACCCGUGUUCCACCCAGCUGCUUUCCAUGAACUACAAUGAUGCCCCCAGGUCCCUCCAGUCACGCAAAUGUAU
Non-coding RNA from Pelobates cultripes (western spadefoot toad), 397 nucleotides. The record is from the annotation of a GenBank genome assembly. NCBI's taxonomy places the organism in Eukaryota, Metazoa, Chordata, Amphibia, Anura, Pelobatidae.